CCUGGGUUCAAUCCCCAGUACUACAAGAAAGGAAGGCUGGAAAGAUGGAAGGAAGAGAGGGAGUGAGGGCUCAGCUGUGGUUACACACUGUGAACUUCUAGCUAGCACGUUGGUCAUUUGUUUCGUUCAUUCAACACUAUUUCCUACAAUGCUGGCCCCUGGGGAGACAGCAGGGAGUGGCAGUGACCGGAAGGUGCUGUGUGCCCCACACCAGGCUUGGUUACCGAGGUCUCCCCAGAGCCCAGCCAGAGACCCCAAGGGGUACCUCUCCGUGCCAAGUGCAGGACCCUUAGUGACACUGCCCAGCAGUAUGGCCAUGCUGAGCACCGGCGGGACAGAGAUGGCGGAGUCUACUCUAGUUCUGGCCUGGUGGCUUCAAGGGAGAGGACGUCGGGAAGCUGCCCCCAGGCAACUUCUCCUUGGUCCUUAAGUCUGUGUGGCAGCAAGGGCUGGGUGCAGUGAAUGACAGUGGCAGGAGGCCACAGGCCUGCGGUCACCACAUGGGCACCGCCGGCCACUGCCCACCUCCCCGCUGCAGGGCAGCGCUGUCUGCCCUCACCAGUGCCUUCCUGAAAAGCAAACGUUCAUCAUAGUUAGAAUCCAGGCUCAAUUUUAGCCAAACAGAAAAAAAACCAAAAAGACCUUUAAAAGACCCACACAUUUUUAACAAGUUCCAAGAAAGCACGUUCUUUAAAAAUAAAGUGAUUCAAUGUAAUGCCCACAUUCUGUAGAAGGUGAAGAAGUUACCCCAACCAGACAAGCUGCUGAUGGAGCCUUCUCCCCCAGCUUCGCUGAGUAAGCCUCCCGCUGUGUUUGUUUAAAAAUAAGGCUGUGUUUCCGGGUCACUGCAAGUGCCCAGCUGUCUCCCGGCGGAUCUGAACCUGUUCACUCUCGGUUCCUCCAGUCACCUUCUCCUGCUUAGAAUUGUGUUCAGGCUACAAAUGUGAAAAACAUUCAAAUCCUAAGAUGAGGCAAAACCAGAAACAGUAAAAUCCUCUCUGGCCCCGGUCCACACCAGUUUUCUCUGGCAAUGACCCGCAGCAUCGGCGGGCAGGUGGGAGGGGAGGCUUGGGGAAGGCUGGCGCCCACCCUUGCUUCCUGCAGGCUGCUAGCCCGUAGCGCAGGCGUGGCUCCUCCUUGCUGGGGUGGGCUCCACACGGAGUGCGCCUCGCUGCCGCACACACACUCCGCCCUCAUUUUACCAACAGGACUGCUCAUCCGCACGGAGUGUCUGCGCGGUGGACCAGACCCGGUCUCCCUGCGGGCGCAUGAGGCCAGCAGCCCCCUGCAGACGAGGUUAUGUGGGAGAAUCUGACGUCCUGGGCAGUGCGGAAAACGUGCAGGUGCUCAGUCCUGUCCUGCAGAAACGCUGGGCUGGGAGCCCUGACGAAGCGGGUUUGAGGGCACAGCAGGGCGACUCCAGAGAGCAGCACACGGCACACACAGCCAGAGCUCGGAGAAGUCUGAAAACUUUCUCCAUGAAGAAAUUGUAAAUGUCUGGGGAGAUGGAUGUGCUUUCCCUGAUUUAAACACACACAAUGUAUACAUGCAUCAAACCAUUCUGCAGCACCCCAUGAAUAUGCAAUUUUUAUGUUUUUAUGUAUCAGUGAAACAGUAAAUAUAAAAAAUAUAAAAAACCAAACAUCGCCUACAAAAGGAAAGAAAUAUACUGUGAUAUAUGUUACAUCUACUUAUAUAUAAUUUUCAUUCACUGGUCGCUACAUCAAAACGUUGUAGUGAAAUUAAUUUUGAUAUACAUUGUUUUUAGUCUUAACGAGUUGGAAAUACCCUCUCUUAGCAUGCGGCUAAUAUUUAAGAAGCGCAGGCAUGGUUUACACUUUUCUCACUACGUCUCUGAA
This is a long non-coding RNA of Heterocephalus glaber (naked mole-rat), 1859 nucleotides long. RefSeq lists it as uncharacterized. The record is from RefSeq and is a predicted model, not a curated record. NCBI's taxonomy places the organism in Eukaryota, Metazoa, Chordata, Mammalia, Rodentia, Bathyergidae.